This is a long non-coding RNA of Daucus carota subsp. sativus, 758 nucleotides long. RefSeq lists it as uncharacterized. The record is from RefSeq and is a predicted model, not a curated record. Lineage: Eukaryota; Viridiplantae; Streptophyta; Magnoliopsida; Apiales; Apiaceae. The transcript is spliced from 2 exons.
GGAUUUAGAACACUGGGAAGUAAGGUCGAUUCUUAAAAAGCCCAAACGCAGCCCGAUAGGAUAUAUAAAGGCGAAAUAGGUUCAUUCAUUCACCAUCGGCGACGAUUUGCGUAGCAGAAGCUCCAACAUCACCAUCAUCAUCCAGGAAAGUAAUUGCAGAGGGCUUUUCCCAUGGCUGAUUACAAAUUCUCAAACUUGAAUACACAGGAUCCGCAAGAAAUCCUCAGGAUUAAGCUUCUCGAGAAUCUGUAUCGUGAGGGCGACAAGCAACCAGUACCAGCAGCAGCAGAGAAUUUCGAUUUCCACAAAGAGUUAAAAGAGAGAGUGGAGCAACGUAAAAGUAUGCUAGCUAUGGAGCCUGAGAUAAGGAAGAGAUGUCAGAUGCCUGUAGAGGAGUUUCUUAAACAAAUUAGGCUUGCAAUGUAUGAGCGAAAACUCUAUAUUGAUAGCAUCAUGCUCCGUCAGGACAAAGAUAGCCACUCAGGCAAAACUUGUGUCAGCGGCUCUAGCACUCCUCACUAUGCUGAUGAUGCAUAUGCCAGUGUCGUUGACGAGUUGAUGAAAACUGAUUUUCUCAAAGCUGACGCCGAUGAUCUUGCUGACUUUGUCGAUGGACCGCAAAAAACCCUUGACGAGGGUGAAAACUGAUGUAUUUUGGGAUGACGACUAAGAAGACUAUGCUAUGACCUUUUUACUCUCUUAAGUUUACAAAGUGUGAAUGCUGACUGAUUUUUAAUUUAGUAAAUCUUUUACUAGCA